GUGUCAGCCGCCGCGGUAAAACGUAGGAGGCGAGCGUUAUCCGGAUUUACUGGGUGUAAAGCGCGUGCAGGCGGUUCGUUAAGUUGGAUGUGAAAGCUCCUGGCUCAACUGGGAGAGGUCGUUCAAAACUAGCGGACUGGAGAAUGGUAGGGGAAGGUGGAAUUCCGGGUGUAGUGGUGAAAUGCGUAGAUAUCCGGAGGAACACCAGUGGCGAAGGCGGCCUUCUAGACCAUAUCUGACGCUCAGACGCGAAAGCUAGGGUAGCAAACGGGAUUAGAUACCCGCGUAGUCC
Molecule: ribosomal RNA, 292 nt
Filed under: uncultured bacterium
Lineage: Bacteria
Description: partial 16S ribosomal RNA
Rfam family: Bacterial small subunit ribosomal RNA
Source: RNAcentral